UACUCGAGUGGCGAACGGGUGAGUAACACGCGGGUGAUCUGCCCUGCACUUCGGGAUAAGCCUGGGAAACUGGGUCUAAUACCGGAUAGGAGCCAUUUUUAGUGUGAUGGUUGGAAAGUUUUUUCGGUGUAGGAUGAGCUCGCGGCCUAUCAGCUUGUUGGUGGGGUAAUGGCCUACCAAGGCGGCGACGGGUAGCCGGCCUGAGAGGGUGGACGGCCACAUUGGGGCUGAGAUACGGCCCAG
This 243-nucleotide ribosomal RNA is filed under the name uncultured Actinomycetales bacterium. RNAcentral's name for it is "partial 16S ribosomal RNA". It matches the Rfam family "Bacterial small subunit ribosomal RNA", at positions 88 to 334 of the family's 1533-position model. The record is from RNAcentral. Lineage: Bacteria; Bacillati; Actinomycetota; Actinomycetes; Actinomycetales.